RNAcentral lists this ribosomal RNA (200 nucleotides) under uncultured bacterium. RNAcentral's name for it is "partial 16S ribosomal RNA". It matches the Rfam family "Bacterial small subunit ribosomal RNA", at positions 30 to 228 of the family's 1533-position model. The record is from RNAcentral.
AUUGAACGCUGGCGGCAUGCCUUACACAUGCAAGUCGAACGGCAGCACGGGUGCUUGCACCUGGUGGCGAGUGGCGAACGGGUGUGUAAUACAUCGGAACAUGUCCUGUAGUGGGGGAUAGCCCGGCGAAAGCCGGAUUAAUACCGCAUACGAUCUACGGAUGAAAGCGGGGGACCCUCGGGCCUCGCGCUAUAGGGUUG